RNAcentral lists this ribosomal RNA (493 nucleotides) under uncultured bacterium. Its description in RNAcentral is "partial 16S ribosomal RNA". It matches the Rfam family "Bacterial small subunit ribosomal RNA", at positions 30 to 523 of the family's 1533-position model. The record is from RNAcentral.
AUUGAACGCUGGCGGCAUGCUUUACACAUGCAAGUCGAACGGUAACAGGUUAAGCUGACGAGUGGCGAACGGGUGAGUAAUGCAUCGGAACGUGCCCGAUCGUGGGGGAUAACGCAGCGAAAGCUGCGCUAAUACCGCAUACGAUCUGAGGAUGAAAGCGGGGGACCGUAAGGCCUCGCGCGAUCGGAGCGGCCGAUGUCAGAUUAGGUAGUUGGUGGGGUAAAGGCUCACCAAGCCAACGAUCUGUAGCUGGUCUGAGAGGACGACCAGCCACACUGGGACUGAGACACGGCCCAGACUCCUACGGGAGGCAGCAGUGGGGAAUUUUGGACAAUGGGCGAAAGCCUGAUCCAGCAAUGCCGCGUGCAGGAAGAAGGCCUUCGGGUUGUAAACUGCUUUUGUACGGAGCGAAAAGGUCUCCUCUAAUACAGGGGGCUCAUGACGGUACCGUAAGAAUAAGCACCGGCUAACUACGUGCCAGCCGCCGCAGUAA